Molecule: ribosomal RNA, 557 nt
Filed under: uncultured bacterium
Lineage: Bacteria
Description: bacterial SSU rRNA
Rfam family: Bacterial small subunit ribosomal RNA
Source: RNAcentral
ACGGGUGAGUAACGCGUGGGAACAUACCCUUUUCUACGGAAUAGCUCUGGGAAACUGGAAUUAAUACCGUAUACGCCCUACGGGGGAAAGAUUUAUCGGGGAAGGAUUGGCCCGCGUUGGAUUAGCUAGUUGGUGGGGUAAAGGCCUACCAAGGCGACGAUCCAUAGCUGGUCUGAGAGGAUGAUCAGCCACAUUGGGACUGAGACACGGCCCAAACUCCUACGGGAGGCAGCAGUGGGGAAUAUUGGACAAUGGGCGCGAGCCUGAUCCAGCCAUGCCGCGUGAGUGAUGAAGGCCUUAGGGUUGUAAAGCUCUUUCACCGAUGAAGAUAAUGACGGUAGUCGGAGAAGAAGCCCCGGCUAACUUCGUGCCAGCAGCCGCGGUAAUACGAAGGGGGCUAGCGUUGUUCGGAGUUACUGGGCGUAAAGCGCACGUAGGCGGAUAUUUAAGUCAGGGGUGAAAUCCCAGAGCUCAACUCUGGAACUGCCUUUGAUACUGGGUAUCUUGAGUAUGGAAGAGGUAAGUGGAAUUGCGAGUGUAGAGGUGAAAUUCGUAGA